CUCUCUGCUAGGGUUUUCUUUAACCCAAACUCCCUAGCUGCCACAACCACUUCGGCGAACCCGAAUCUCCCCUCCGGUUCUGAUUUGGCAGCAAACAGGGUUUUAUCUUCCUCCACGCAGAUGAAGAUUCGGGGAGGCGGCUAGUGCGAAGACCCUGGUUGCGGCGCAAGUUCAUCCUAGAAACCCUAGGGUUUUUGAUUGUUUGGGCCACUGGAUUUGGGGUUUGGUUUUGGGCCUCUGUUUGAUUUGGGCCACAUAGGCCCGUUUGUAAUUUAGGCCCUUUUGACCCGGGCAAAAAUAGGGUAUUACAAUCGUUAUAUUCUUAGGAAAGUAUUUAGUGAACCAAACGUUUUUAAUUAAUA
Molecule: long non-coding RNA, 362 nt
Organism: Gossypium raimondii (Peruvian cotton)
Lineage: Eukaryota; Viridiplantae; Streptophyta; Magnoliopsida; Malvales; Malvaceae
Exons: 2
Source: RefSeq, a predicted model, not a curated record